Microcebus murinus (gray mouse lemur) is the source of this 770-nucleotide non-coding RNA. The record is from RefSeq and is a predicted model, not a curated record. NCBI's taxonomy places the organism in Eukaryota, Metazoa, Chordata, Mammalia, Primates, Cheirogaleidae.
UCGGGGUCGAGCGCGCGGGAAACCCUGCGAACCCCACGCGUGUGCGCUGGGCCUGGGCGUCCACGAGCGGCGGGAGGGAAUCUGACCCCGGACUCGGGCAGAGCCUCCCGGUGAUUUGGAAAUCUCCCCGGAGUGAAAGCUAAACUUUUGGAGCGGGCUUACAGCAGGGUAGGGGACAGCGCCGCGCGGGCAGAAAUAAGGAAGAGACCGCAGAAGAGAGGGAAGAUCGUGAGUCUGCCUUUACCCAGUUGAAAGCUAAUUAAUUGGUGCUGGAAGGAGGGAAACUGGGACCCAAGGCAGGUUUGGAGCCUUGAAACUUCGUUGCACGAUUGGGAGAUGCGUGUUGCUGCAGACUUUAAACAGGCUUAAACCCGGGCUCCAACACAGGCUGAAAAUAUGGCGCGCCGGUCUGUCCCUUCCCCACGUCCCCAAGUUCUCUUCUGACUCUUCCUGCCUUUCCCAGCUUUCCUUCCCGACGCCGGCGGCUCCUCACCCCGCCCUCAGGGCGGCUACCCUACCUUUCAGCAAUUCUCCGCUUCUGCGCCAGGAAUCCCGGAAUCUUGGAACCACGGGGAACGAACUCAAACUCGCGCUGGGGCGGGGUGGGGGUCGGAGGAAGGUCCUGCUCCCAAUUCUCCCCAGAGCAGAAAAGAAUUCCAGGGGCUACGUGUGGGCUGCUAUUUUUCCCUCUUGUCCCCGCUCCUCCCCCACCCCUACACCCCACUGAACCACCAAAGAGUGGCGAUGUAAAAGGGCUCGCGUGGAAAAUG